GCAGUUAAAGCUCAGUGGUACAGCACAUGCUUAGCAUGCAUGAAGGCCUGGGUUCAAUCCCCAGUACCUCCA
Molecule: transfer RNA, 72 nt
Filed under: Camelus bactrianus (Bactrian camel)
Lineage: Eukaryota; Metazoa; Chordata; Mammalia; Artiodactyla; Camelidae
Also listed under: 3 other names
Rfam family: tRNA
About the family: Transfer RNA (tRNA) molecules are approximately 80 nucleotides in length. Their secondary structure includes four short double-helical elements and three loops (D, anti-codon, and T loops).
Source: Rfam by way of RNAcentral